Molecule: long non-coding RNA, 1064 nt
Organism: Odontomachus brunneus
Lineage: Eukaryota; Metazoa; Arthropoda; Insecta; Hymenoptera; Formicidae
Exons: 3
Source: RefSeq, a predicted model, not a curated record
UAAAAUUAUUGUUGUACAUGUCUAUUACUAUUGUACACUUUCUGUCGAAAAAGUUGCCUUAUGUUUUCUUGUAAAUUUCGAAUCUCAUCAGUCUUGUUUGAUGAGAGAAUCCUCUCAUUGGGGAACAUUUUCUUAUUGCACAAGACGAAUGAGUUUUGCAACUUACAAAAUAAAAUUGGAUAACCUUUUCGUCGGUGAGUAUAAAUUUUUAUGCAACUUAAUCUUAAAAUCUUUAACAGAUUAACCAUGUAACCUCUUAAUACACACAGACUCUUCCUUCAUCUACGAGACUAUUUUUUAAUUAAUAAAAAUUAAAUUUAUUAAGAGUUUGUUUUUAACAUAAGUUUUGACAUCUCGUUGGAGUGCUUGUGCACAAUAAUAUUUAUGACUUUAUAAAAGUAUUAUUUAUGUCUCAUUGGUCUGAAUUAUGAAAAAUAACUACAAUUUUUGUAUUAUGUUGUAAUAUUGUAUUAAAUCAUCAGAGCCUUAUCAGUAGGUGCUUUCCAGCUAUGGUUGCUUUCCAACAAGAGACAAAGUCAUCUUAUCAAUACAAGUAUCAUCUUAUCUUUGUUACUCACUAAAUAUGGAACAAAGAUAGAAUGAUAUUUGUGUCAACUUGUGUCUUUUGUUGGAAAGCAACCUACAUACACUGUGUUACACAAAACCAGUUUAUUGGUCACACAUUAUCUAAAAUAUCUUGUUAAUAUAUUUACAGAAACGGAGAAUGAUCCUUUGGUAUUAACAUGUGAGGAGCAAUAUAGUGAUAUAAAUAAUGUACCCAUUGUAGUAGAAGGAUAUCCCCAAUCAACGGAAAUCUUGCAAAGUAUUAACAUAAAAGGUAAAAUAGAAGAUGCCAUGAAACGACGUGCAAAAAGCCCUCUUGAAAGUAAUGAUGAUCUCAUCGCACCGUUUUUACCAAUGAAAAUAGUAGAAGGCAUAAAAGAAUUUGACACAGUACUGAAAACGUCAGAUGAAGCAGUGACACAAUUUGUAAGUUUUGUAUUUCUUUACUAUCUUUACAAAUGCAUUUUAUUUUAAUAUGAAAACAUAUUAUGCUUCAUUAU